RNAcentral lists this ribosomal RNA (492 nucleotides) under uncultured bacterium. Its description in RNAcentral is "partial 16S ribosomal RNA". It matches the Rfam family "Bacterial small subunit ribosomal RNA", at positions 29 to 507 of the family's 1533-position model. The record is from RNAcentral.
AGUGAACGCUGGCGGUAGGCCUAACACAUGCAAGUCGAACGGCAGCACAGUAAGAGCUUGCUCUUACGGGUGGCGAGUGGCGGACGGGUGAGGAAUACAUCGGAAUCUACUUUUUCGUGGGGGAUAACGUAGGGAAACUUACGCUAAUACCGCAUACGACCUACGGGUGAAAGCAGGGGAUCUUCGGACCUUGCGCGAUUGAAUGAGCCGAUGUCGGAUUAGCUAGUUGGCGGAGUAAAGGCCCACCAAGGCGACGAUCCGUAGCUGGUCUGAGAGGAUGAUCAGCCACACUGGAACUGAGACACGGUCCAGACUCCUACGGGAGGCAGCAGUGGGGAAUAUUGGACAAUGGGCGCAAGCCUGAUCCAGCCAUACCGCGUGGGUGAAGAAGGCCUUCGGGUUGUAAAGCCCUUUUGUUGGGAAAGAAAAGCAGCAGGUUAAUACCCCACUGUUCUGACGGUACCCAAAGAAUAAGCACCGGCUAACUUCGUG